Molecule: long non-coding RNA, 820 nt
Filed under: Ficedula albicollis (Collared flycatcher)
Lineage: Eukaryota; Metazoa; Chordata; Aves; Passeriformes; Muscicapidae
Description: lncRNA (ENSFALG00000028924.1)
Source: RNAcentral
GGGGGGGGGGGGGGGGGGGGGGGGGGGGGGGGGGGGGGGGGGGGGGGGGGGGGGGGGGGGGGGGGGGGGGGGGGGGGGGGGGGGGGGGGGGCAGGGCCGGGCAGGGCCGGGCCCGGGCGGGGAGGGACGGCAAAGAGAGGCUGUGCCUCAGCAGGGCCGGGCAGGGCCGGGCCCGGUGCCUGCAGCGCUCCCGAGCGCCGAGCGGCAGCGGCAGGGAGCCUGGCAGAGGCAGCUCUGGCUGGGCUGUGGCGGCAGCAGCGGCCUCCUCCUCCAAAGCCGAGAGCGAGCGAGAGAGAGCAGCUGCCCCGCUGGCCUUUCACUGCUUCUAAUCUCACCGUGUCUCUGCCCCUCCCUCCGAGAGAAACCCCAAAAACCAGAGGGGUUCCUCCUCCCCUGUCUCAAGUACUUUGCCAUCAGUACUUUAGCAGCUCAAUGGGAAAAAUUCCUCAGGCAAUGAGUACAAGAAAAACCAACCCCCAACAAAGGUUAUUACUCCACUGGCAUAGUCUGGGAUAUGCCUUUGGUCUGAAAAUGUAACUCAAAUUUCAUACUAGUAAGUCUUGUUUUUCAGGCUACCCCAAGCAAUUUAGGAUAGGGAGCAUUAAUUUGCAUCCAGUGCAGUGUUUUACAAUAUGUGUACAUCAAUUAUGCAUAAUUUCUGCUGCUUUAUAAGGUGUUACUUGUGUUUAGAAAAGAAAAUGCUGCCUUACCAUAAAAUGAUUUUUGAAUAGCAAUGUUGUUUAAUUGGUUUCACUGUGUACUUGAGAUAUUUUUAAUUAGCUUUGAAUAUUUAAAUUUUUAAUAACUCUGUUAUAUCUAC